Long non-coding RNA from Halichondria panicea, 3047 nucleotides. RefSeq lists it as uncharacterized. The transcript is spliced from 8 exons. The record is from RefSeq and is a predicted model, not a curated record. Lineage: Eukaryota; Metazoa; Porifera; Demospongiae; Suberitida; Halichondriidae.
UCUGGUUCUACCGAGUUGCCCUACAGUUUGCCAGUUUCUUUAUCCGUUUCAUUGCAAACUUCUGUUCACAGGAUCUACAGCAAACAGUGUUGCAUGUUACACUUGCUUGAUUGCUCCAGGCAUCAUUAAAACCUGCUGGUUGGUCCAUUAAGGGGCCUAUUAAAAUUAGGUGCAUGGACCAACUGCCUGGACGACUGGUAAAAGAAUUCACCCAGCUUGCAUAAAGUGUUCUAGGUGGGCAGCUCAUUUCAAAGCUUGCAGGGGUUCGUUGGCAUCAGGAAAACCUGCUUGUUGGUCCAUAGGAGGCUGUUUCUGGAAACUAGGUGGACCAACGACCUGGACGGCAAGUAAGAAAAUAGUCGCGCAGCUUGAAUAAUGUGUUCCAGGCUGGUGUCACAGCUCAUUUUUCAAAGUUUAGUGUCUCCAUUGGCAUCAAUUAAAAGAAAACUUGCUUGUUGGUCCAUAAGGUUUCCUUUUUCUGGAAAUUAGGUGGACCAACGGCCUGGACGACAAAUUGGUGUCAGCUCGUUUCAAAGCUUAGUAUCUCCGUUGGCAUCAAAACCUGCUUGUUGGUCCAUAAGGUUUCCUAUUUCUGGAAACUAUAGGUGGACCAACGACCUGAACGACAAGUGAGAAAAUAGUUCACGCAGCUUGAAUGCAUAAUUUAAUGUGUUUGAGCUCAUUUCAAAGCUUGGUGUCUCCUUUGGCAUCAUUAAACUGGAAAACCUGCUCGUUGGUCCAUAAGGUUACCUGUUUAUGGAAACUGGAUGGACCAACGUCCUUGGACGACAAGCAAGAAAUAGUUCACGCAGCUUGAUUUCAUGUAUACUCAUUUCAAUGUUUGGUGGCUCCUUUAGCAUUGAAAACCUGCUUGUUGAUCUAUUAAAGUUUCCAGUUUCUAGAAAUUGGGUAAACCAACAGACAACAGGGGUAAGAAAAGAGUUUUUAUGCAGCUUGCAUUUAUUGUGUUGGUUUCAACUUUCCAAGUUUGGUGGCUCCAUUGGCAUCAAUUAAACGAGAUAACUGCAUGGGGCCCCAUCGUAUAAGUAUAUCAUAAAAAUUAUUCCUGGAAAUUCGAUGGACCAAUCCAUGCAGGUAAGAAAAUAAUUAUGUUUCUCCAGUUAUUGACUACUAUUACAUACAGUGCAUGCUGCCUCAGUGUGGGACCUGACAUCUUGUGGUUAGACAUCAUUCAAAAUGUUGAACAGCUUCAUCUUUUGAAUAUGUGUGUGUGGGUGUUGUUGCAUAAACUUUGCUAUUUGAUGUGGUUGAUUUAAACCUGGCUGCGGUGCCGAUUAUGACAUCUAAUGAACUCUGAUCUUUCUGGCUUAAUUCUAUAGAUCUAGACUUAGGCUGUAUAAUGACUGAUUCUAAUGAAGAGCAGGCUGCCACAGGCAAUGAACAAGAUGACUUUGAAUUCUCGGUCAGAUCAAGAAAAUGCACCGAGUUGUUCAGGGAAAGGGAAUCGUGUCAACUCAAUUCAGGAGUGACCAAGAGGGCCAUAAUGAGCCUUUUGAUAAGAUAAGUCAAGCCGGAUACAAAGUACAGGUAAUCGUACAAACUCAAACAUUAGAUCUCUACAAUCAUGCCAUUGCAGGAUAAUGUUUCAAAGUCAGAAACAAAGCCGUCUGGAAUUCCAGUGCCAUUGCUGUCUGCAUAUCUCAUCAGUGUACAUGAACAGCGUGCUUUCAACUCAUUGGACAACUCUCUCCGGUCGUUUGUUAUACAGGGAAUCAAUAGAAUCGAUUCCUCUUUGAAUGUUGGUCUGUUGAUCUAUUAACUUCACUGAGCAUGGAGUUUCUUUUCGUCUCACACUGUGGGUUGCACUUCAGUGAUGGUAUACAGUGGGUAUACUGGUGCAGUUGUGAUAGUGCACGUGGCAACUUACUAAAUAGCUGCUCCACUUCGGUUGAUUCCACAUAUGAUGCAUUCACAAGCAUUGUUGGCUCUGAAUGUAUCCACAACGAACCAACUAGACUGAUUAUCCAAGAGACUGACAAUAUUCACAACAUUACAUCAGCUCAAGAAUUAUCAGAUCAUUCGUAUACUUUGAAUAUCGAACCUCACAAGGAGGACACCUCCUACAGUAUAAAUGUUGGCACAGAGGUUGUAUGCUCUAUUGGGCAGGCGGUAUGUACAAGAGCUGAUAUAGUGGCCAUGGUGUUGUACAAGUUCGUAUUGAUGAUAAACAAUUAAGGGGUCUGUACUGUUGUACAUGCAUGCAAGUACAAUAAACAGCACAGUUCACAUGUGGACAUUGUCGAGAAAGCAUUGAAUAGCCCGGAUGAGGAUAAACAUGACUGCCUCAAUAAAAUUGCAAAAGAUCUGUCUAGUGUGCAGCAGAAUAGACAAGUGCAUGUGCAUCAGUAUCGGUCCCUUAAUUUCAUCAAGCAGUAUAUACCGUUCAAUUUAUCAAGUGAAUUGUCUCAACAACUGGCAUGUACUGUAGCUGAUCGCUUCAACAUUGUAAACAACACUUCUAUUUUGGGCUCAGUCGACACAUAUUGUAAAGUGUGCAGUACGCUUACACGAGAUGAAGAAGACAAGCAGGAAUCUGUACGGAGCAAAAUUAUACUGCUCAAUACAGUUAUCAAUGCGAAUGUGCAUGUUAGGUAUUGCUCAGGAUGUAAGAAACGUAAAGAAUUUGAUGGCCAACUAGUAGGAUUAGUGACUAUGGGCAAGUUCCUGGUAUCCUAUGAAGUUCUGCGAGGUUUUAUGCAUCAAUUCCUUUUGGGAAGAACAACUAUAUAUACCCAGUAUUGUGUGUUGGUUAAAAACCAUGAAGAUGCAGGAUUCGGCGAUCAGUUUAAUAAGUAUUAGUAUAUGUUUACAUACAAUCACUAUCGGUUGUCGUGGUAUGCCUUUCUUUACCGGUUAGACAUUGAUUAUCAAGUAGGAUUUCAGUGCACUGCGUGUGGAGAUUGUCCACCCAUUGUUGUCAUGGAUGCUACUUGUUUAGCAUUCAGAAAAGACCUUAUGCCCUGGAAGUCCCAACUCAACGGUUCUGGAGUUCAUAAAACCUCAUCCCCUAUCAGCUGUACUGGAAG